This 253-nucleotide ribosomal RNA is filed under the name uncultured bacterium. RNAcentral describes it as "partial 16S ribosomal RNA". It matches the Rfam family "Bacterial small subunit ribosomal RNA", at positions 524 to 776 of the family's 1533-position model. The record is from RNAcentral.
UACAGAGGCCUCGAGCGUUAGGCGGAAUCACUGGGCUUAAAGCGUGUGUAGGCGGAGUGCUAAGUACCUUGUGAAAUCCCACGGCUUAACCGUGGAAUUGCUUGGUAUACUGGCAUUCUUGAGCCAUCUAGGGGCGAGCGGAACAGACGGUGGAGCGGUGAAAUGCGUAGAUAUCGUCUGGAACGCCAACGGUGAAAACAGCUCGCUGGGGAUGUGCUGACGCUGAGACACGAAAGCCAGGGGAGCAAACGGG